CAUUAAUUUCUCCAGUCCCGUUUCUUCUUCCUUCCUUUCUGUGACUUGGGCCUGUUGAUAGCUAACAUCAGUGCACCAAGAACGCUGAGGUGAGCCUCAGUCCUUUGGCUAUCUGCUUUCUUCAGCUCUUCCUGAAAGAGAAAGCCAAGCAAGCCUAGAUCCAUACAGAAGCUUUUACAGAAACCUCUUGGCAGAAAUGAUAAGCCAACAAAGGCCAAAUUGCUGUAUUUUUGUCUCUGUACUUGUAGACUCACAGCACAUGAAGGCUGGGAGAAAUCAUCCCAAGAGAGGGGACCUUGAAGAUAGUAGUGAUGAUUUCUCUCCAACUCCAGCAGCUACCUCUGCUUUCCUUGUUUGCUUUCCUUGAUAGACCCAGUGGGAGAUGAUGCCAGAAGCACCUGGGGUUGCAGUGGUGCCAGCUGAGGAAAGGACAGGCCGCACUCUCCACAACACCUACCCAAGUUCCCCAGGGUGCUGGAUCAGUUCAGGUCGAAAAGGGGAUGGCUGUUCUGCGCUUGUGCUGUCAGGAGGGCACUCCAGCUCCCUGGGACAGGCAGGUGUGGUGGUGGCACCCAUCCCACGUCUGUGGGCAAAGCAAGGUGUUCAGACAUCGGAAGAGAACAAAUGUUUGUGCUAGUGUUCCAGAGUUGGCCCUGUAGGUCAUCAGCAAGGCUAGCUCAGGCCCACAGUCAACAAGAUGGCAUGGACAAAACCACUGAGCCUCCAGCUUUCACCCUGACACGGUCCUUAUCCAAGACUGUUCCAGGGAUAUUGUCCUUUUAGGAAUUUAUUUUCACUAACUAUUGAUUUAUUUUUUCCAAAGCAAUGACCAUUCCAUUAGUUUUUCACUGAUAAAAAAAGCAAUGACAUGAGCUUUCACCGCAAUGCCCAUUAUGCUGCAGUCAGCCUGAGCUCUCUGCAUGCCUAACCAGGUGAAAUUUAGCAGCCUGCAGUAUGUGUACAUUUGACACUGUGUGAUCUCCUCUGCCCUUAAACCUGGGGAAUUUAUGAGCCUUAUCUUGGCCACUAGACCAUGCUUCUCUUCCUUCACUUCCUCUCCUAUAGUUUUAAAACUUUAUCUGGACCUAGGCUGCUCUUUAUAUCACAUACUCUCUCUUUGAUUUCAAAUAUGGAAGGGAAGUUAUUUAAAAAUAGGUUCCAUCAUAGAUCGUGUUCUGGUAAUUAGGCACAGAGCUAGACCUUGUAAGUACAUCUGUGCCUCCAAGGGAGGUCAGCACAGUUUUGAGGAAGAGAAGAAAGUCUAACUGCUUUCACUGGUGAGAGCCAGAGCUCCCUUUGUAUGGAUUUCUUUGUGCUUGCUUUGACUUUUUUAUUCAGGCUCCCGUUUACUUGACCAACACGGUAGGGGAAAAUGAACCUUGGGUGAGAGCCCUCCAUGCUGAUGGGGCAAAGCAGCAGAGGCUCUGUGACCACAGCACUGCUGUGGAGAUGCUUCUUUAUGUGAAGCUGGGCUGCAACCACACCGAUCUCUUAUGAUCUCUUAUGAAAUACUAGUUGCGUGAUUAUUUCUUAUUGCUCUUUUUUUAAUCAUGCCUAGGAUGAUCUGUGCCUGGCU
Molecule: long non-coding RNA, 1576 nt
Organism: Numida meleagris (helmeted guineafowl)
Lineage: Eukaryota; Metazoa; Chordata; Aves; Galliformes; Numididae
Source: Ensembl